Molecule: long non-coding RNA, 1297 nt
Organism: Patella vulgata (common limpet)
Lineage: Eukaryota; Metazoa; Mollusca; Gastropoda; Patellidae
Exons: 2
Source: RefSeq, a predicted model, not a curated record
CUUAUAAAUACGUAUAAUCUAAAAGAGCUGUGGAAGUAGUUAAACAUCCUGUAUAUUAACUAUGUAAUAUUAUAUAUUUAUUGACUUCAGUUAAAACUAGCUAUUGGACUUAAACAGAGAUAGAUCUUCAGUUGUAACUAAUGUCAGUCAACGGUAAAAUCACAACAUCAUUAGUAAUACCCAGGACCAAGCAACAAGAAACAAAUAAGGAUAAUUUUGUUACUGCCUAUUCCGUAAUGCCUCGACAAUAUGUGGAGGCUGUUCCAGUGGAGCACUCAGGUAGACAACGUCCACAAUCUCGAUAUUUGUCAUCAGUGUCCAUUCUUUUGGAAAAUCAACACUUAAAUGAUUCAUUUAAAGCUUUCCGUGUCCGAAGAAGUCAUUCUAUGUUAGAAAAUCAAGAACAAAAUAGUUGCAGUUCAGUUGAGGAGUGGCCGAGCGAAACAUGCAAAGCAAAUGCUACCUUGAAUCAUAAAUCGUCAGAAUUAAAAUGCAGCAUUUCUGAAUUAAACAAAGUUUCAACACUUUUAAACAAUAAAUAUCUAACAGAAUCCUUUGAAACGUUUCGUAGCCGACGUAAACACUGGCUGCAGGACACUCGGUUUUGUGACACUGAAAACGGACAUCUACCGAUGCGAUCACAGAGCAGCGUUGUGAACGAAAGAAAUUCCAUGAACAUUUAUCUCCAAAAUCAGUCACUAGAAAAGGCUUUUAAAGUAUUUCGUGUUCGACGAAGGAGCUCAGCAGAGUGGUCACGUCCGGUGGUUGGAAGCAGUGUUGCAGAUUAGAAAUCGCUUGCUUUAAAUGUUACAGAAAACGCCAAAACAACAUUUUAUUGGUGCAAUACAAAAAAAAUAUUUACUAAAUUCAGACUUUAUGCGGACUGUAAAUUUAUCAGCAUAUAUUUUCAUUAGAACUUCACACAAAGCUAAAUCCUAUUUGAAUAACGAAACCUUAAUGGUAUUCUCAGGACAGAUUUCGACAUUAUCAAAACUUAAACCAACUUGCUGUUGGUGAUAGUGGACAGUAUUGUCAAGAAAACUCGUGAGAACCUUAGCAAAUGUUGCCAUUAAUUUAACUCCAAAACAAAGUUCAAUGUUGGUUGAAUAACAACAAAGUCGUAAAUAUCUAUUCAGCACAGAUUCACAAAGAUUAUCAAUACUUACAUCAUGUUGGACAAACUGUGGUGUGAUGAUGGACAUUAUCAUUAAAUAAACCUGUGAGACCUAAAGUAAACAAUAAAGUAUACACAUAUAACCUCUUUCAUUUACGUCGAAAUAAAGUAUUAAAUAGUCUU